AACGAACGCUGGCGGCAGGCUUAACACAUGCAAGUCGAACGCACCUUUCGGGGUGAGUGGCAGACGGGUGAGUAACGCGUGGGAAUCUACCCUUCUCUACGGGAUAGCUCCGGGAAACUGGAAUUAAUACCGUAUAUGUCCUGAGGGAGAAAGAUUUAUCGGGGAAGGAUGAGCCCGCGUUGGAUUAGCUAGUUGGUGGGGUAAAGGCCUACCAAGGCGACGAUCCAUAGCUGGUCUAAGAGGAUGAUCAGCCACAUUGGGACUGAGACACGGCCCAAACUCCUACGGGAAGCAGCAGUGGGGAAUAUUGGACAAUGGGCGCAAGCCUGAUCCAGCCAUGCCGCGUGAGUGAUGAAGGCCCUAGGGUUGUAAAGCUCUUUCAGUGGGGACGAUAAUGACGGUACCCACAGAAGAAGCCCCGGCUAACUUCGUG
RNAcentral lists this ribosomal RNA (433 nucleotides) under uncultured bacterium. Its description in RNAcentral is "partial 16S ribosomal RNA". It matches the Rfam family "Bacterial small subunit ribosomal RNA", at positions 29 to 507 of the family's 1533-position model. The record is from RNAcentral.